Molecule: ribosomal RNA, 474 nt
Filed under: uncultured bacterium
Lineage: Bacteria
Description: SSU rRNA
Rfam family: Bacterial small subunit ribosomal RNA
Source: RNAcentral
AGGAACAACGUUGGCGGCGUGCCUAACGCAUGCAAGUCGGGCGGGGUCGCCUUUCGGGGCGGCUCAGCGGCGGACGGGUGAGGAGCACGUGAUCGACCUGCCCAUGAGUGGGGGCCAACCCCGGGAAACCGGGGCUGUUACCGCAUGCGUCCGGCCCCUGGUGGGGGGGUCGGGGAAAGCCUUUCGGGGCGCUCAUGGAGGGGAUUGCGUCCGAUUAGCUAGUCGGCGGGGUAACGGCCCACCGAGGCGACGAUCGGUCGCUGGUCUGAGAGGACGACCAGCCACAGGGGGGACUGAGACACGGCCCCCACACCUACGGGUGGCAGCAGCGAGGGAUUUUCGGCAAUGGGCGCAAGCCUGACCGAGCAACGCCGCGUGCGGGAUGACGGCCUUCGGGUUGUAACCGCUUUUCCCCGGGGCGAAGAUGACGGUACCGGGGGAAUCAGCCUCGGCUAACUACGUGCCAGCAGCCGC